Molecule: transfer RNA, 72 nt
Filed under: Penaeus monodon (black tiger shrimp)
Lineage: Eukaryota; Metazoa; Arthropoda; Malacostraca; Decapoda; Penaeidae
Description: tRNA-Pro
Rfam family: tRNA
About the family: Transfer RNA (tRNA) molecules are approximately 80 nucleotides in length. Their secondary structure includes four short double-helical elements and three loops (D, anti-codon, and T loops).
Source: RNAcentral
GGCCUGAUGGCCUAGGGGUAUGAUUCUCGCUUAGGGUGCGAGAGGUCCCGGGUUCAAAUCCCGGUCAGGCCC